This 71-nucleotide transfer RNA is filed under the name Loxodonta africana (African savanna elephant). It matches the Rfam family "tRNA". Rfam says of the family: Transfer RNA (tRNA) molecules are approximately 80 nucleotides in length. Their secondary structure includes four short double-helical elements and three loops (D, anti-codon, and T loops). Lineage: Eukaryota; Metazoa; Chordata; Mammalia; Proboscidea; Elephantidae. The record is from Rfam by way of RNAcentral.
ACACUGGUGGUUCAGUGGUAGGAUUCUUACUUUCCAUGCCAGAGACCCUGGUUUGAUUCCUGGCCAGUGCA